Gekko japonicus is the source of this 704-nucleotide long non-coding RNA. RefSeq lists it as uncharacterized. Lineage: Eukaryota; Metazoa; Chordata; Lepidosauria; Squamata; Gekkonidae. The transcript has 3 exons. The record is from RefSeq and is a predicted model, not a curated record.
GUCGUGACGCAGUUCCACGCGUGGUGGCACAUUUUGACGGGCCUCGGCUCCUACCUUCACAUCUUGUUCAGCUUGUACUCAAGGACGCUUUACCUGAAGUACCGGCCAAAGGUGAAGUUUCUCCUCGGCAUCUGGCCCGUCCUUUUAGUGGAGUUGCCCAAGAAGCAGUGACCGAGACCUCUCCAUUUUGGCCGGAAGACACUUGGCCUCGGAUGCACCGGGAAGUUGCGCAAUGCGUUUCGACAGACAUGUCCUCUUGGCGCUGUCAAGAACUCUUCCCCCCCUCCCCUCCCCUCUGUUUCUGGAACAACAGAGAACCAUGCAGAGCCAAAAAGCCCGCAUGUCAAGGAAGCCACGACGGGUUGGGGGUCUUUUGCGAGGCAUGGAAAAUAGAAUUGGAUGGCAGUAUCUUUGAUGUCUUUGUAAAGCCGGAGAAGUUGGGCUAGUGCGUGGCGCUGCUCUCAGCCAGUGGACACCCUUUCUUUUGGAAGCAGGUGACCGAGAGUCCCAAUCGCUGGCUGGUUAAAACGAAUGUUUGUCACCGAAUCAUGAAAAGCGUUGGAGUCCCAUGGGCGCCAGCCAUCCGUUUUGGUUUAUAAGAGAGACUUGGGUUUUCUGAGGGGCAUUUUAUCUGUUAGUACAUCGUAACGGUUGUUGUAACUUGGGCCUUUGUUCUGUUACAUGCUCGAAACCAGUUUCCAAGG